UAGGGAAUCUUCCACAAUGGGUGCAAACCUGAUGGAGCAAUGCCGCGUGAGUGAAGAAGGUCUUCGGAUCGUAAAGCUCUGUUGUUAGAGAAGAACACGUGCUAGGUAACUACUAGCGCCUUGACGGUAUCUAACCAGAAAGUCACGGCUAACUACGUGCCAGCAGCCGCGGUAAUACGUAGGUGACAAGCGUUGUCCGGAUUUAUUGGGCGUAAAGGGAGCGCAGGCGGUCUGUUUAGUCUAAUGUGAAAGCCCACGGCUUAACCGUGGAACGGCAUUGGAAACUGACAGACUUGAAUGUAGAAGAGGAAAAUGGAAUUCCAAGUGUAGCGGUGGAAUGCGUAGAUAUUUGGAGGAACACCAGUGGCGAAGGCGAUUUUCUGGUCUAACAUUGACGCUGAGGCUCGAAAGCGUGGGGAGCGAACAGGAUUUGNAUACCCUGGUAGUCCACGCCGUAACGAUGAGUGCUAAGUGUUGGGGGCUUUCCGGCCCUCGGUGCUGGAGCUAACGUAUUAAGCACUCCGCCUGGGGAUUACGACCGCAAGGUUG
RNAcentral lists this ribosomal RNA (549 nucleotides) under uncultured bacterium. RNAcentral describes it as "bacterial SSU rRNA". It matches the Rfam family "Bacterial small subunit ribosomal RNA", at positions 355 to 896 of the family's 1533-position model. The record is from RNAcentral.